This 26-nucleotide non-coding RNA is filed under the name Rattus norvegicus (Norway rat). Lineage: Eukaryota; Metazoa; Chordata; Mammalia; Rodentia; Muridae. The record is from RNAcentral.
UGGUGAUUCACGCUUGUGCCACUUGG